CGCACGCGCCCCCGCAGCGCACGCGCCCCCGCAGCGCACGCGCCCCCGCAGCGCACGCGCCCCCGCACGCGCAGUGCAAUGGAGCGGAGAGAAAGACCCUUAACUGGGUCUGCUGCAUUAGUAUCUGCUUUCCUGGUGAACUAGGGAACAGACAGGCCACCUCUUAGUGCAAGGCCAGGCUCAUUGCUGCUCAUAUCUGCCUGUUGGAGCACUUUUGUGGCCACUGCAGCUCACCUGAUGGAACGCUUUUGUCACCGAAGUAGGGAGGUCAUCUGAUUUGGCACCUAUAGGAAGCCACCCUGAUUGCAGGAUUUCCAGCCUUCUCCUACAUGUAAAUCAUCAAUAAACAUGACGUGACAAUUAAGACUGAGUGAGAGAUAGCAGAAACAAAUGGCAAAACCAAAUCUCCAAAGGCCUCAGAUAUUGGAAAUGUCUGCUUUAGUUCGAAGAAGAAAUGUAUUCUUCCACUCAUUUUGUAGACCUAGAAAGCAAAAUUGAUCUCUUCGGUAUAUAUUUUUUGACUUAGUUUUUAAAAAAAUACUGAUUUAUAUAUUUGCCUGCGCUGGGUCUUAGUUACAGCACACAGGAUCUUUGAUUUUUAUUGCAGCAUGUGGGUCUUUGUUAUGGCAUGUGGGACCUAGUUCCCUGACCAGGAACUGAACCUGGGCUCCCUGCAUUGUGAGCUUGGAGUCUUGGCCCUGGAGCACCAGCAAAGUCCUUCUUUGGUGUAUUUAAAGAAACUAGAAUAACUGGAAACAUGAACAAGGAAUAAAGGGCUACCCAAAAUGAC
This 790-nucleotide long non-coding RNA is filed under the name Bos taurus (domestic cattle). RNAcentral's name for it is "long non-coding RNA NONBTAT026286". The record is from RNAcentral. Lineage: Eukaryota; Metazoa; Chordata; Mammalia; Artiodactyla; Bovidae.